Molecule: ribosomal RNA, 854 nt
Filed under: Lacticaseibacillus rhamnosus
Lineage: Bacteria; Bacillati; Bacillota; Bacilli; Lactobacillales; Lactobacillaceae
Description: partial 23S ribosomal RNA
Rfam family: Bacterial large subunit ribosomal RNA
Source: RNAcentral
GGUUAAGUUAAUAAGGGCGCACGGUGGAUGCCUUGGCACUAGAAGCCGAAGAAGGACGUGACAAACGACGAAAUGCUUUGGGGAGCUGUAAGUAAGCGCUGAUCCAGAGAUGUCCGAAUGGGGGAACCCACUAACUAAUGGUUAGUAUCCAUAACUGUUAAGGUUAUGAGAAGGAAGACGCAGUGAACUGAAACAUCUAAGUAGCUGCAGGAAGAGAAAGCAAACGCGAUUGCCUUAGUAGCGGCGAGCGAAACGGCAGGAGGGCAAACCGAAGUGUUUACACUUCGGGGUUGUAGGACUGCGACGUGGGACUUUAAAAGGAUAGAAGAAUUACCUGGGAAGGUAAGCCAAAGAGAGUAAAAGCCUCGUAUUUAAAAUUCUUUUGAGCCCUAGCAGUAUCCGGAGUACGGCGAGACACGUGAAAUAUCGUGGGAAUCUGGGAGGACCAUCUCCCAACCCUAAAUACUCUCUAGUGACCGAUAGUGAACCAGUACCGUGAGGGAAAGGUGAAAAGCACCCCGGGAGGGGAGUGAAAUAGAACCUGAAACCGUGUGCCUACAACAAGUUCGAGCCCGUUAAUGGGUGAGAGCGUGCCUUUUGUAGAAUGAACCGGCGAGUUACGAUAUGAUGCGAGGUUAAGUUGAAGAGACGGAGCCGUAGGGAAACCGAGUCUUAAUAGGGCGAUUUAGUAUCAUGUUGUAGACCCGAAACCAUGUGACCUACCCAUGAGCAGGUUGAAGGUGAGGUAAAACUCACUGGAGGACCGAACCAGGGCACGUUGAAAAGUGCUUGGAUGACUUGUGGGUAGCGGAGAAAUUCCAAACGACAUUGGAGGUAUCGGGUUCUCUCCGCAA